RNAcentral lists this transfer RNA (72 nucleotides) under Actinomycetota bacterium. Its description in RNAcentral is "Actinobacteria bacterium tRNA-Ala". It matches the Rfam family "tRNA". Rfam says of the family: Transfer RNA (tRNA) molecules are approximately 80 nucleotides in length. The record is from RNAcentral. Lineage: Bacteria; Bacillati; Actinomycetota.
GCCGCAGUGGUCUAACGGUAUGACACCGGUCUAGCCAACCCGGAGACGGGGGUUCGACUCCCCUCUGCGGCU